UCCUACGGGAGGCAGCAGUGGGGAAUAUUGCGCAAUGGAGGAAACUCUGACGCAGCGACGCCGCGUGAGGGAUGAAGGUCUUCGGAUCGUAAACCUCUGUCAGAAGGGAAGAAACUAGGGUGCUCUAAUCAUCAUCCUACUGACGGUACCUUCAAAGGAAGCACCGGCUAACUCCGUGCCAGCAGCCGCGGUAAUACGGAGG
This 202-nucleotide ribosomal RNA is filed under the name uncultured bacterium. RNAcentral describes it as "partial 16S ribosomal RNA". It matches the Rfam family "Bacterial small subunit ribosomal RNA", at positions 337 to 531 of the family's 1533-position model. The record is from RNAcentral.